This 2115-nucleotide ribosomal RNA is filed under the name Triticum aestivum (bread wheat). RNAcentral describes it as "partial small subunit ribosomal RNA". Lineage: Eukaryota; Viridiplantae; Streptophyta; Magnoliopsida; Poales; Poaceae. The record is from RNAcentral.
AGGUACCCUGAUGAUCCGUAUGACAGGUUGUGGUUCCCUUUUCGUGACGCAACAGCUGACUGGGCUGAGAUAUCAACGGGGAUGAAGGUGGAAAGUGAUGACGGCCAAUUCCAGCCGCCCCAAGCAGUGAUGCAGACGGCCAUCACGCCCAAGAACAUGUCCAAGGGAGUAGAUUUUACCUUGGACCUCCAGAGUUCCCCUAGUGACCGGUCCCUGGGGUACAUCCAUAUCUUGUACUUCUCCGAACUGCAACAACUCCCCAGCAGCAAUGCAUUACGGGAGUACAACAUCUAUCGGAAUGGCAUCUUGUCCUACAAAGCCUACACUCCGCCAUACCUUGCCGGGAGAUGGUUGUUCUCAACCAAGCCCUUUCAAGCCAGCCAGUACAUGCUCUCCCUCAACGCCACCACUAACUCGACGCUGCCACCCAUCAUCAACGCCAUCGAGCUAUUCUCCGUCAUCCCAACCACCACCAUGAGCACCGACUCAAAGGAUGUAUCUGCCAUCACGGCGAUCAAGGAGAUGUACCAGGUGCAGAAGAAUUGGAUGGGUGACCCGUGCGUUCCCGAUACUCUGGUCUGGGAUGGCUUGACCUGCAGCUACGCCGUUUCUAAACCCCCAAUUAUCUCAAACGUAAACGUCUCCUUCAGUGGUCUGAAUGGUACUAUAUUACCUUAUUUUGCAAAUCUCAAGGAUGUCCGAUACUUGGAUAUGUCAAACAAUAACUUGAUAGGUUCAAUUCCAGAUACCCUUUCACGAUUACCAUCAUUAGUGUUUUUAGAUCUCUCGAACAACAAGCUCAAUGGGUCAAUUCCUUCUGGACUUCUCAAAAAAAAAAAUCAAGAUGGCUCCUUGGAUCUAAGGCAUGGCAACAAUCCCGACCUCUGUUCUAAUGGCAACUCAUGUCAGCCUGCUGAAGGGGACAACAAACUAGCCACCCACAUAGUUGUUUCUGUAGUUGUGAUUGUGGUGUUAGUAUUAGUGGCAAUACUCUGCUUUUGGUUGCAAAGAAGAAGAAAGCAAGGAUCAAUCAAAAAGUCUGUAGAGUUGACAAAUGAUGGAGAUGGAAAUAUCUCACUUGAACUUGAGAACCGUCAGUUCACGUACAUGGAACUGGAGAUGAUAACGAAUAACUUCCAGCGACUGCUUGGGCGAGGAGGGUUUGGGUAUGUCUUCCACGGCUGCCUGGAAAAUGGCACUGAGGUGGCAGUAAAGUUGAGGUCUCAUUCUUCAAAUCAAGGUGUCAAACAGUUCCUCGCAGAGGCUCAAGUUUUAACACGGAUUCAUCACAAGAAUCUGGUGCCUAUGAUUGGUUUCUGCAAGGAUCGGGAGCACCUGGCACUUGUCUACGAGUACAUGCCUAAAGGAACCCUACAAGAACAGGUUGCAGGACAAGACAACAACGGACGAGGUUUACCCUGGAGGCAAAGACUCCGAGUCGCACUUGAAUCAGCGCAAGGGCUGGAGUACCUACACAAGGGGUGCAGCCCACCUAUAAUUCACAGGGAUGUGAAAACUGCCACCAUCUUGUUAAACGAGAGGCUGGAGGCCAAGAUUGCCGAUUUUGGCUUGUCCAAGGCUUUCAACAACGAUGACACCCAUGUAUCCACGAACACAUUUGUCGGGACACCCGGAUAUGUAGAUCCAGAGUAUCAAAGAACAAUGCAGCCAUCCACCAAGAGCGACGUGUACAGUUUUGGUGUCGUCCUGCUAGAGCUAGUCACUGGGAAGCCAGCCAUCCUGCGCAACCCCGAGCCUAUCACCAUCAUCAACUGGGUGCGACAGCAGCCUGCGCGGGGCGACAUUGAGGGUGUGGUGGACGCACAUAUGCAAGGUGAUCAUGACAUCAAUGCCAUUUGGAAGACUACGGAAACUGCGCUCAAGUGCACUGAGCAAGCACCCGUGCAGCGGCCCUCCAUGAUGGAUGUCAUGAUGCAGCUACAGGAGUGCCUCGAUCUCGAGGAGGGCUGCACAGGAGUUGGCAUGAACCCAGACAUGGGUUACAACGCCACCACUAACCAGUCCGUUGAUGUGAGCCAGAACAAUGCUUUUGAGAUAAAGCAUAGUUAUACUAGAGGGCAACCAAUGGAUAACGAUCCUGCAUCUACACGAUGA